GCCAGCGUGGUGUAGUGGUUUGAACACUUAACAAUGAUUCUGGAGACCAGGGUUUGAAUCCCUACUCAGCCA
Phrynosoma platyrhinos (Desert horned lizard) is the source of this 72-nucleotide non-coding RNA. The record is from the annotation of a GenBank genome assembly. NCBI's taxonomy places the organism in Eukaryota, Metazoa, Chordata, Lepidosauria, Squamata, Phrynosomatidae.